GGGAUUGUGGCUUAGUGGUAGAGUGCUUGCCUAGCAUGCAUGAAACCCUGGGUUCGAUUCCUCAGUACCA
Molecule: transfer RNA, 70 nt
Filed under: Dipodomys ordii (Ord's kangaroo rat)
Lineage: Eukaryota; Metazoa; Chordata; Mammalia; Rodentia; Heteromyidae
Rfam family: tRNA
About the family: Transfer RNA (tRNA) molecules are approximately 80 nucleotides in length. Their secondary structure includes four short double-helical elements and three loops (D, anti-codon, and T loops).
Source: Rfam by way of RNAcentral